RNAcentral lists this ribosomal RNA (773 nucleotides) under uncultured Neocallimastigales. Its description in RNAcentral is "partial large subunit ribosomal RNA". It matches the Rfam family "Eukaryotic large subunit ribosomal RNA", at positions 24 to 614 of the family's 3401-position model. The record is from RNAcentral. Lineage: Eukaryota; Fungi; Neocallimastigomycota; Neocallimastigomycetes; Neocallimastigales.
GCAUCUGUGCAUGCAGCAUAUCAAUAAGCGGAGGAAAAGAAACUAACAAGGAUUCCCCUAGUAACGGCGAGUGAAGCGGGAAGAGCUCAAAUUUGAAAUCUUAAAGGGUUUCCCUUUACGAAUUGUAGUUUAAAGAAGUGUUUUCUGUUGAGGUUUUGGUAAAAGUUCUUUGGAAUAGGACAUCAUAGAGGGUGAGAAUCCCGUAUUUGACCUUUACUUUCAACUUUGUGAUACACUUUCAAAGAGUCGGAUUGUUUGGGAAUGCAGUCCAAAAUGGGUGGUAAAUUUCAUCUAAAGCUAAAUAUUGGCGAGAGACCGAUAGCGAACAAGUACCGUGAGGGAAAGAUGAAAAGAACUUUGAAAAGAGAGUUAAACAGUACGUGAAAUUGUCAAAAGGGAAGCGUUUGACACCAGUGUUGUUUUUCUGAAAAUCAAUUAAAGAACUGUUUAUGCUAAGUUGUUUAGACUUUAUCAGCUAUCUGUUUAGUUUUGAGCUUUUCUUUAAUGCACUUUUCAGUUAACAAGUCAACAUCAAUUUCUUUUGCUGUAAAAAAGCUUGAGGAAGGUGGCUUGAGAUUCGUCUUAAGUGUUUAUAGCCUCUUGCCUAUGCAGUCGGAGAGAUUGAGGUCUGCAGCGUAGAUCCUUCGGGGCUAAAUGCAUCUGUGCUAAGUUAUAGCAUUUUAUAGACAACUUGUUGACUAUGAUUUGUCUUGUAGCUUACUCGCUUAUGUUAUUUUACCUACGCUUAGGAUGUUGAGUCAUCACACAUCUCU